This is a long non-coding RNA of Quercus robur (English oak), 1129 nucleotides long. RefSeq lists it as uncharacterized. Lineage: Eukaryota; Viridiplantae; Streptophyta; Magnoliopsida; Fagales; Fagaceae. The transcript has 2 exons. The record is from RefSeq and is a predicted model, not a curated record.
UUUUUCGGGUUGCUAUGGUUGAAUGGUUGGCCUUUGGUUCAACGCCCUUAAAAAGGGGUUUUUAGCAAAUUUUUACUUGUGUAGUUUCGGUAUUUGAUGUCCUCCACCAUAAGAAUUCUCAGUUUAUGCUCUAUUUGUAUUAACAUGAGACCUUUAUUAUUAUUAUUAUUAUUAUUAUUUUGGGAUUUAAUUAAAGUUUCUAGGUUAUCUCAAGCUUUGGUUUCAUGUUUAGUCUCUAUUUAUUUUGUAUUUUAGUUUGACUGAAUCUUCUUUAAUAGUAGCAUCUUGAUUUUUGAGGGGUUUUAUUUGAUUCUUUGUUUGGUUGCAGACCCCAGCUUCUUUUCCAAUUUCCUCCUUCAGUAACCCAUGGAUUAUUUUCUGCUUUCUGUUAUGCACAACGAAAGACCAAAUCUAUAUAGUUUAGAAGCUGUCUGCAAAUUCUAGCAAUAGCAAAGUGAAAAGGUAGAGUUAUUUAAGAUAGAAAUUAUGAGAAAAUUUUACUAAUGAUAGAAGAUUUUCUGUUGUGAUUAUUUAAUGCAAAUUGUUGGUAUGGGUUGCAGGGAUAAGAAAGCUAUGAGUAAUGGACACAGACAUGAGUUAUUAAAACACUAAACAAUUGUAUCUUUUUGGUGGUUUGCUUAUUUAGUUUCAGUGGGUAACUACUUAUUAUUGUUUAUAUACACUGUUUACUUUUUGUUUUCUUCUUUACAUUUUUCCGUUUUCUGUUUUUUUUUUCCCUCUGAGAGAACAAACCCAAUGAAGGUUGUGGACAAAAAACAGAGUACCCUUAACGCUACUGCUAUUGUACUUGCAGCAUGCAAUGAGAAUUACUAUAGCUCACAAUCGAAUGAGUUUUAUCAUGGUUAACAAAUGAGUUUCUUUUGGAACAUCUGACUCCUCCUGCCAACGGUUUGAAGCCAUGUCAUAUCAUGUACAACAAUGAAGAUGACAAUGGGAGAGAUAUUUUCCAAAGAUUAUAUUGAAAUUUUAUUGUUUAAUAGAUUGUGCUGAUUUUUUUUUCGACCCAAUUCUUUUUAUGUAAAUAAUUAUAUUAGAGGGUACUUGUGUCUGUUUUGUAUUCUAUAUUUGAUUGAAUUGUAGUUUAGAUGAGUCUUUGGGUUUGGAACAA